RNAcentral lists this ribosomal RNA (252 nucleotides) under uncultured bacterium. RNAcentral describes it as "partial 16S ribosomal RNA". It matches the Rfam family "Bacterial small subunit ribosomal RNA", at positions 524 to 776 of the family's 1533-position model. The record is from RNAcentral.
UACGGAGGAUGCGAGCGUUAUCCGGAUUUAUUGGGUUUAAAGGGUGCGCAGGCGGAGGCACAAGUCAGCGGUAAAAUCGCGGGGCUCAACCCCGCUCCGCCGUUGAAACUGUGUCCCUUGAGUGCGCGAAGGGUAGGCGGAAUGCGUGGUGUAGCGGUGAAAUGCAUAGAUAUCACGCAGAACUCCGAUCGCGAAGGCAGUCUACCGGCGCGCAACUGACGCUCAUGCACGAAAGCGUGGGUAUCGAACAGG